GGACAAAGUGAGACAACAAAGUCUCUCACCAACUAUAUUCUCUAUUUUUUUCAGACGAACCUAGACACCAUUCCAAUGGAUGAGCAGGUCCAAGAACCUCUUUCUGAUCAGGUUUUUAUCAACUACCGCGGAGAUGAGCUGCGCGAAAUCUUUGUCAACCAUCUAGAGCUACAAUUAAGAAACGCAGGGAUCAACGUCUUCAUAGACACUAAAGAGCAGAAAGGGAGAAGACUACAAUAUCUCUUCACAAGGAUCAAGAAGUCAAAAAUCGCGCUUGCUAUCUUCUCCAAGAGGUACUGUGAGUCAAAGUGGUGUUUGGAUGAGCUUGUGACGAUGAAUGAACAGAUGAAGAAAAAGAAACUCGUUGUGAUUCCAGUCUUCUAUAACGUAAGAUCGGACGAUGUGAAAAGAGCAGCCAAUCCCGAUGGAGAAGGCGGUCUUGAUGGAGAGUUUUCCCUUCCUUUUAAGCAACUGAAGCAAAAACAUGCAGGGGAGCCUGAGAGGGUCAAGGGUUGGGAGUGUGCCCUGAGAUCUGUGACAAAAAAGAAUAGGAUUUUCCCGGUCAAAUUACGGACACGAUACCACUUUUGUUUAUGAUAUUGUUAAGGAGGUUAAGAGACAGCUAAACAUACCAACUGAUCAAAGUUGGUCAGCUAUAGGAAUUGCUAUCUCGGCUAUAACCAUCAGCUUUAUCUUUAGUUUCUUCAUUGCCCCUAAGUAUCUCCCUGAUCAGAAGUUUUUCCAGACUCCUGAAUGGUUCAUAGGUUCUCUGGCAGUGGUUCUUGCGUUGUGGUUUUGGAACAAAUAUAACCAGAAAGCACCACCUCCUUCAUAAGUGGCUUUUGUGCAACUUUAUGCUGUUAAUUUGUGUGUGGUUUUAAUGGGGUGUUAAAGAUCA
This is an RNA transcript of Arabidopsis lyrata subsp. lyrata, 898 nucleotides long. It is a transcript of the gene named vesicle-associated protein 1-4-like, with no coding region annotated. The record is from RefSeq and is a predicted model, not a curated record. Lineage: Eukaryota; Viridiplantae; Streptophyta; Magnoliopsida; Brassicales; Brassicaceae. The transcript is spliced from 2 exons.